GACGAACGCUGGCGGCGUGCUUAACACAUGCAAGUCGAACGGAAAGGCCCUGCUUUUGUGGGGUGCUCGAGUGGCGAACGGGUGAGUAACACGUGAGUAACCUGCCCUUGACUUUGGGAUAACUUCAGGAAACUGGGGCUAAUACCGGAUAGGAGCUCCUGCUGCAUGGUGGGGGUUGGAAAGUUUCGGCGGUUGGGGAUGGACUCGCGGCUUAUCAGCUUGUUGGUGGGGUAGUGGCUUACCAAGGCUUUGACGGGUAGCCGGCCUGAGAGGGUGACCGGCCACAUUGGAACUGAGAUACGGCCCAGACUCCUACGGGAGGCAGCAGUGGGGAAUAUUGCACAAUGGGCGGAAGCCGGAUGCAGCAACGCCGCGUGCGGGAUGACGGCCUUCGGGUUGUAAACCGCUUUCGCCUGUGACGAAGCGUGAGUGACGGUAAUGGGUAAAGAAGCACCGGCUAACUACGUG
Molecule: ribosomal RNA, 468 nt
Filed under: uncultured bacterium
Lineage: Bacteria
Description: partial 16S ribosomal RNA
Rfam family: Bacterial small subunit ribosomal RNA
Source: RNAcentral